UCAAAUCCAAUUCUAACAAGAGUGAUCUCUGUCUAAUCCGAUAAAUCAUUGCGUGUAACCCGCAAAUAGGUUUAUCUGAUAGUUCUCAUACGAUUCAGAGAUUAAUCCAGGUUUUAAUCAUAACUUUGCAAUUUCAAUUCGGGUUCCAGGUUUGUUAAUUUCUUUGAAACUACUUGUUCUAGACCAAUUAUACAACAAAGAUAAACCUAUUUUAGGGUUCAAUUUGGUUCGAAUUGUAGUUGUAGUUUUGUUCGAAUAUUUGCCUGACCUGUGAUAGUUUUGUUGGAAAUCUAAGUUGCAAAAAUAUAACUUUGAAUUCAAUUAUAUUAUUUGUUAGAUGCUUGGUGUCAAUCGACUGUAUUUUGAAAUGACGAAAAACAUUGAGUUUGAAUUUGGUCAACAAUAGUAUUCUGCCCACUUAGUUUAUAAUUUUUAUUGUUGAAGGAAAUCCUAGUUCGUGGAAUUAUUGAAUCAAACAGAAUAUGGAAAUUUAAUUUGAUCAACUUGAUUUCUAGACUUUGGAAUUUUAUUUUGAUUCAGUGAUGUUAAUUCAAGUUGUUUAAAUAAUAUUUGUUCAAGGAAUUAGGAAUUAGGAAUUAGGAAUUAAAUGGUAUUUACUAUUUUAAUAUUCUCAAACUGAUAUGGUGUAAUUGAAAUUCGUUGACAUCAGUUAGACAUAACUGGUAGAUUAUUUUGAUGAAUUAAUUAAAGGGUAGUUUGGAAAUCAUUUUCGAUUAAUUUAAAGUAGGUUUGAUCAGUGUAUUUUCUUUUAGUUUGAUCAAUAUUGAAUUUCAAAGUUAACUCAAAAUGGUUGAAAAUGAUGAGAAAACUGGAAAGUUUAACAAGUUUAAGGAUAAUAAGAGAAAGUUGGACCGGGAUAAUAAUGAUUCCAACAAGAAACCAAAAGGGGGUUGUUGGAGAUGUGGCAAACCGGGGCAUUUCAAGAAAGAUUGUCGUGUGAAGAUUACUAGUGGAAACAAAGCUAACAUAGCGGGUCCAAGUGGGUCGAAAGAUCCGAAUGCUUCACAAGAUGACAUGCUUGCAUGGUGGGUAGACUCGGGUGCUACGAGUCACGUUUGCAAGGAUCUCAAAUGGUUUCAGGAAUUUGAACCACUUGAAGAUGGAUCUGUACUAAGGAUGGGGAAUGUUGCAACUGAGCCCAUCAAAGGAGUUGGAAAAGUUAGACUUGUAUUUACUUCUGGAAAACAUCUAUUAUUAGAUAAUGUGUUGUAUGUACCAGGGAUUCGAAAGAAUCUCUUAUCUGGAAUUGUAUUAAACAACUGUGGUUAUAAACAGGUCAUUGAGUCGGAUAAGUUUAUCUUGUCUCGACAUGGAACCUUUGUAGGAUUUGGAUAUUUAUGUAAUGGCAUGUUUAUGCUUAAUAUUGAUAUCCCGUCUGCUAUUGAAUCUAUUUGUAUG
RNAcentral lists this long non-coding RNA (1419 nucleotides) under Helianthus annuus (common sunflower). RNAcentral's name for it is "sRNA HanXRQr2_Chr06g0257761". Lineage: Eukaryota; Viridiplantae; Streptophyta; Magnoliopsida; Asterales; Asteraceae. The record is from RNAcentral.